GAUGAACAGUAUGUCUUGGGGAGAGUUCGCCAAUGAAUUUGCAGGGUGGGCUUUUCCUGACAGUUCUAGGGAGAUGAAAGUAAUUGAAUUCGAACAGUUGAGACAAACAGAUGAGAUGAGUGUUGAUGAAUUCACAGAUAAGUUCCUGGAUUUGCUUCAGUAUGUGGGUCAAGCCUAUGAUACUGAUCAGAAGAAGGCAAGGAGAUAUACUAUGAGACUGCAUCCCAGGUAUUCUUCCUUGAUUCUUCCAGCAGAAAAAGAGAGUUUCCACACGAUAGUAGACGCAGCCAGGAAAAUGGAAGCUAGUGCCAAUAUUCAGAAACAGUCAAAGGCACAGGCUUCGGGUUCUAAAGCCCCCAC
This 360-nucleotide long non-coding RNA is filed under the name Manihot esculenta (cassava). RNAcentral describes it as "long non-coding RNA (MESC_LNC009296)". The record is from RNAcentral. Lineage: Eukaryota; Viridiplantae; Streptophyta; Magnoliopsida; Malpighiales; Euphorbiaceae.